GUGAGUCAUCGAAUCUUUGAACGCACAUUGCGCCCCCUGGUAUUCCGGGGGGCAUGCCUGUCCGAGCGUCAUUUCAACCCUCCAGCCCGGCUGGUGUUUGGGUUCCGUCCCCCGGGACGAGCCCCAAAAUCAAGGACGGCGUCAGUUCUGACCCCGAGCAUAUGGAGAUUUUAUCACCGCUCGAGGGGGAAGGCUGGCCCGGUCCACCCAACCCAUCUUUUAUAGUUGGACCUCGGAUCAGGUAGGGAUACCCGCUGAACUUAAGCAUAUCAAUAAGCGGAGGA
This 284-nucleotide unclassified non-coding RNA is filed under the name Caliciopsis sp. RNAcentral describes it as "partial contains 5.8S ribosomal RNA, internal transcribed spacer 2, and large subunit ribosomal RNA". The stretch from base 1 to 71 matches the Rfam family "5.8S ribosomal RNA", at positions 84 to 154 of the family's 154-position model. Lineage: Eukaryota; Fungi; Ascomycota; Eurotiomycetes; Coryneliales; Coryneliaceae. The record is from RNAcentral.